GACCCUGUAGCGCAAUGGAUAGCACGUUGGACUUCUAAUCCAAAGGUCGUGGCUUUGAAUCCCACCAGGGAUA
Molecule: transfer RNA, 73 nt
Filed under: Trichonephila inaurata madagascariensis
Lineage: Eukaryota; Metazoa; Arthropoda; Arachnida; Araneae; Nephilidae
Rfam family: tRNA
About the family: Transfer RNA (tRNA) molecules are approximately 80 nucleotides in length. Their secondary structure includes four short double-helical elements and three loops (D, anti-codon, and T loops). Further hydrogen bonds mediate the characteristic L-shaped molecular structure. tRNAs have two regions of fundamental functional importance: the anti-codon, which is responsible for specific mRNA codon recognition, and the 3' end, to which the tRNAs corresponding amino acid is attached (by aminoacyl-tRNA synthetases). tRNAs cope with the degeneracy of the genetic code in two manners: having more than one tRNA (with a specific anti-codon) for a particular amino acid; and 'wobble' base-pairing, i.e. permitting non-standard base-pairing at the 3rd anti-codon position.
Source: Rfam by way of RNAcentral